GACGAACGCUGGCGGCGUGCUUAACACAUGCAAGUCGAACGGAAAGGCCCUGCUUUUGUGGGGUGCUCGAGUGGCGAACGGGUGAGUAACACGUGAGUAACCUGCCCUUGACUUUGGGAUAACUUCAGGAAACUGGGGCUAAUACCGGAUAGGAGCUCCUGCUGCAUGGUGGGGGUUGGAAAGUUUCGGCGGUUGGGGAUGGACUCGCGGCUUAUCAGCUUGUUGGUGGGGUAGUGGCUUACCAAGGCUUUGACGGGUAGCCGGCCUGAGAGGGUGACCGGCCACAUUGGGACUGAGGUACGGCCCAGACUCCUACGGGAGGCAGCAGUGGGGAAUAUGGCACAAUGGGCGGAAGCCUGAGGCAGCAACGCCGCGUGCGGGAUGACGGCCUUCGGGUUGUAAACCGCUUUCGCCUGUGACGAAGCGUGAGUGACGGUAAUGGGUAAAGAAGCACCGGCUAACUACGUG
Molecule: ribosomal RNA, 468 nt
Filed under: uncultured bacterium
Lineage: Bacteria
Description: partial 16S ribosomal RNA
Rfam family: Bacterial small subunit ribosomal RNA
Source: RNAcentral